RNAcentral lists this ribosomal RNA (253 nucleotides) under uncultured bacterium. Its description in RNAcentral is "partial 16S ribosomal RNA". It matches the Rfam family "Bacterial small subunit ribosomal RNA", at positions 524 to 776 of the family's 1533-position model. The record is from RNAcentral.
UACGUAGGGGGCAAGCGUUGUCCGGAUUUAUUGGGCGUAAAGAGCGUGUAGGCGGUUAGGUAGGUCCGUUGUGAAAACUCGAGGCUCAACCUCGAGACGCCGAUGGAAACCAUCUGACUAGAGUCCGGAAGAGGAGAGUGGAAUUCCUGGUGUAGCGGUGAAAUGCGCAGAUAUCAGGAGGAACACCAAUUGCGAAGGCAGCUCGCUGGGACGUUACUGACGCUGAGACGCGAAAGCGUGGGGAGCAAACAGG